This 253-nucleotide ribosomal RNA is filed under the name uncultured bacterium. RNAcentral's name for it is "partial 16S ribosomal RNA". It matches the Rfam family "Bacterial small subunit ribosomal RNA", at positions 524 to 776 of the family's 1533-position model. The record is from RNAcentral.
UACGUAGGGUGCGAGCGUUAAUCGGAAUUACUGGGCGUAAAGUGUGCGCAGGUGGCCGCGCAAGUCGAGUGUGAAAUCCCCGGGCUUAACUUGGGAAUUGCGCUCGAAACUACGUGGCUCGAGUAUGGCAGAGGAAGGUGGAAUUCCACGUGUAGCGGUGAAAUGCGUAGAGAUGUGGAGGAACACCGAUGACGAAGGCAGCCUUCUGGGCCAAUACUGACGCUCAUGCACGAAAGCGUGGGGAGCAAACAGG